This is an RNA transcript of Dendrobium catenatum, 5478 nucleotides long. It is a transcript of the gene named transcription factor PCL1, with no coding region annotated. The record is from RefSeq and is a predicted model, not a curated record. The transcript has 2 exons. Lineage: Eukaryota; Viridiplantae; Streptophyta; Magnoliopsida; Asparagales; Orchidaceae.
AAAGGCUCCCCACUCUCUAGUCGUCUACCCUCGCGUCCAUUUCUCUUCAUUCAUCCACUAGGACCACUACCGGCGAAGGUUCGUCGUUGAUCGGAAACCCUAGUUCUGCAAUUUCCGAUAGAAAUUUUUAGUUCUAGAGGAAAUCUCUACGACCGCUUCUAAUAAGAUUGAUUGAUUAGUCUUGCGAUGGGGAAGGAUGCCAACCAGAACGUUGUCGGAAUCGACGGCGAAGGAGGAAGCGACGAGGAUCGGAUAAUCGAUUGGGAGGAUGGGCUGCCAAGUGGAGAUGAUCUCACUCCUCUUUCUUUGCCUCUGGUUCCGCCGGCGCUCGCAUCGGCCUUCAGUAUCCCCCCUGCUGAACUUAAAACCAUGCUCGAAGUUCAUAGAGCUAGUCAACACACCAUCUCCAGUCUCUCGGUCCGCCGUAAACCCUCCGCUUCUUCUCCUCUAAAUGGAUCGCUGAAGCCCUUAGCAUCCGGUGGUGCAGCUGAUGAUGGAAACUGCUUCAUGGUUCUCGAAGCUGAAGAUCCGGAGGAAUCUCCUCUUUCGGAAACCUCGGGAAGGCUGCCGGAACUUGGACCCGAGGAGGCUGUUGAUUCGUCUGCCCUACAUGGGGAAAAUUCCGUGGACGACCAGCGGGCUCUGAAACGACCGCGGCUGGUCUGGACGCCGCAGCUUCACAAGAGGUUUGUGGACGUGAUCGCCCAUCUGGGCAUCAAGAACGCGGUCCCCAAAACCAUUAUGCAAUUGAUGAACGUGGAUGGGUUAACUAGGGAGAACGUUGCGAGCCACCUCCAGAAGUACAGACUCUACCUCAAGCGGAUGCAGGGGUUUUCUAAUGAGGGCCCUUCUUCCUCGGAUCAUGUCUUUGCAUCUACUACCGUGCAGCAAAACCUACAGGAGCUGCAGCAGCAGCCGCGGCCGCCGUCAAUGCCUAUGCCUUACAACGUGCCGACGAUGAUCCCAAUGCCAAUCUACGCCAUUCCACAUCAUCCGUCCCAUGGUGUGGUUCCGUUAAAUAAUCAUCAGGGAGGCAUGUCAUGCCAUGGAUUUGAUGCUCAUAAUCCUUAUGGGGCGAAUAAUUGGGCAGGUGAUUUCAAUUUUGGGUCGAUUGUUUCUUAUCGUUAUGUUUCGCGCAAUUAUAAAUAAAGGGGGAUUUACCUACAUACUAUUUUAUUUUAUGCUAGUUAUAUAUCUUACAUCUAAAACUUUAACAUCACAUUCCUACCACUUAUAUAAAAUUACACCCAUACAAUCCUAUAAACUUUAAUAUUUCAUUCCAUGCACCCAUAUCUAUAAUCUCUCCUGGUUUCCUGAUCAUCGAUCUUGUUAUUAAUCUCAAAGCCUUCUAUCGCGGAUCUCUAAUCUCACUGUUGAUCUUGUUGGUGAACUGCAAGAAGCAUUCUAGCUUGCCCUAUACGAGAAUCGCUUGCACAUCCUAAGCUGGCUUGCUUGUGAUCAGUCACAACCCAACCAUUGGUAUUAAUAGCGAAUUUGCUCACUAUACGACUCCCGAUUUCUUAGGUGAAUAACACUAGAUAGUUCUCUACUUGAAGCUUCUUCUAUUUUCAACCAUUCUUGGCUCUAAUUUUAGUAAUUCCAUAUCUCUAAAAAGAUCAUAUCUCUCUGUUGUGAGGAAUGUUCAUAUCUUGCGAAAUAUAACAAACACAGCCACUAAUAAUUUGGAUAUUUUUGGUGUUUAACUCUUAAAUAAAAAUUAUUCUACAUAAAAUUUUAAUUUUGAUUCUUUGUUAUGGGAAAAAAGUUAUGGGAUCAUGUUGAUGGAAGUGAUCAUAUUCUCUCUAAAUCUCCAAAAUUGGAUCAAUGGCAAAAUGAAGUGUCAAACGUCAUGACUUGGACCUUAGGAUUUGUUGAUCAUGCUAUUUUUCCUUAUUUGAGGCCAUAUAAAACAAAAAGAAUAUAUAAGAAUAUUUCUAAAAAGUUUACAAUGAAGAUAGUAUACCAAACGUAAGGAGGCUUCUCAAUUAAGGAUUAUUUUUGGGCUUCAAAACUUUUAAUUAGAAUUAGCUGAUAUGAUAUAAUCUAUGCAAAAGUACCUUAUGAAUGUAAUUUUUUUAUUCAAGAGGUUCUUGAACAAAGCAAAUGACUUCAAUUAAUGAUAAAACUUCAUCUUGAAUUUGAGCUGGUUCGUUCCAAUUUGACGAAUCAUGACACUUCAUCUUUGGUGGUGUGCUUUAGAGACUUAUUUGUUGGAAGCAUAGGCUUGCGAUGCAAAUUAUAUUUCAAAUUCAAUCAUACAAGAUUGAUGUUGCAUAUGCAGCUCAUGUGAAGAAUAAAAAGGCAUGCAUUGAUACAAUGUUACACUUGCAAGAAUUUCGUACAUGUUCAUGCUAAUUGUGCAAAUAAGGUUUAGCAUAUAUCAUGAGAAGUUGGGCAUGUGAUCAAGGUAUAUUGAAAACAUUAGCAUAAUCGAUAAUCAAAUUUAACAUAAGUAAUCACUAUAAUAUUUAGGUUGUAGGUUUAGAAGCCCUUAGACAAAUCUGAUGUUACCCUUGAGAUAGUUCAAUUGAUGAUAAUUAAAUCUUUAAUUACUUUAGGGCUUCUAAGUAUGAAUGCGCUACUCUCUUCAUAUUGGUUUGUGGAUUCUAGUGCUUUUAAUUAAUGACUGACACUACAUCUGUUUGAUAAUAUUUGACCAUGGCAUGGAUCAUUUAUUCAUGUUGCUAAUGAUAAUCAAUUAUCUAUCAAAACUAUUGGGCAUGUUAAUCAUGUAGUGAAAGAUAUUCUCAUAUCUCAUAUACUAUCAACUACUAUCAUUUCAGUAAAAAGAUUGGUUGAUAAUAACUUUGAUGUUUGAUUUUCUCGUAAUGGUUGCACUCUGCAGGAUCAAGAGAUGAGCAAAAUACUCAUGAAGGAGUUUAAAGUUGGACAACUAUUUUCUUUUUAUCCUUCCAUUUCGAAGGUAUGUCAUGAGAGGAUCAAGCAUAUUGAAGAUGAUUGUUACUCAAUUCGGGAAGGCUUCUCUACUCAUUAUUUUUCCUCCUCACAUCUUCACAAACCUUCAAGUGGCAAACAUUUACGAAGACAUUGACUAGAUUAAAAACAUCAAUUUCUUGUAAGCAAGCUGAUACUUCUUGACCAGUAGUAUCAAUUUUUAGAUAAUACAUGUAUAUAAUUUAUUGAAAAUUAAUCUCCACAAAUUAUGGUUUGCUCGGCUCUUUGCUUAGCACUUUAUUGAGUUGCGUGCUCAUGAAUGUCACCUCGCCUUUUUGUGUACUCUUUUUUUUGUAAUUAAUCAUAUAACUAAAUUUUUGCUCUUGAUUUUGUAUACUUCCUAUUAUAUAAUUCUCCUAAGGUUGUAUAAAUGUGGGCCAAAAUAUGGAAUAAACCUCAAUUGUGCUAAACUCUUAUUGACAUUUUGGGCCAACUAGUUUGGGAAUUGGGCUGGGAUUAUCUUCCCAAACCACUAUAGGAGCUAGGUUUACCUACUAAAUUGAUGUGUAACUAUCAAGAAGGUCUUUUAAAGGAGCUACGCUCCAAACUUGGGCGAUACUGAGGUAAUGGUGAUUGAGCUCUGACUGGGACUCCUUGCUUAAAGGAUGGAUCUAAACUGAGAGACCUCUGAGGGUCAAAGAAGAAGGCAAUAUGAUCCUAGGAGAAAGGAGUUCUUGUUUUAUAACUCUUUUGUAUUGGUUGGAGCAGGAGUUCUAAGGCAUUCCUUAUUUGAUUGGUCUGCCUAUUUCUAGUCUGUAGUUCUUUCUGGCUUAUUGUCCUCAUCAUUGUUGUCAUAUCAGAAGAUUUUUCAACAAGGUUUAGUUUUUACUUCUUUGUCUAGAUCAUAAAAGAGAAUUCAAAUUUAUGUGUUAGGUAAAAGGAGAUUGCAAAAUACUUCAGUGCAACAUUUGCUAAAAAGAUAACUAGAUUGGGCAUUUACGGUUUAAUAUAAAAGAGAACAAUUUGUUUUUCUACUAUGUUUUGUUUUAGAUUUCUUUAAAGAAUUUCUAAUCUAGGUAAAUGUGUUUUUGCAACAAUUGGGCAGUGAAAUUAGAGCCUAUAAGCUCUCUAGUGACUGAGUUUGCAUUCGUCUUGCAAGCUUGUGACUUAAUUGACUAUGCAGAGGAGAUUACUAGCUCAGCAACAAUGGUGACAUUGUCAUGUUUCCUUUAACCCAAACUUUUUGCAGUUAAAAAAGUCUUUACAUUUGCCUUAUGUUUUUCAUUUUGUUUGAUCUUUUUCCUUUAUUUAUUUUUUCAUUAUUUAAAUAUUUAAGUAUGUUUAUGACACUAUAAUGUCAUCAGUGAAGUUGACCUACCCCGUUGAAGCAUGGAGAACAUGGUGGGAAUUCAAUAAUCCGGCGACACACCCUCCAAUAGUUGUCUGCUCUUUUUCUGAGUGGAGAGGACUAUGAUAAUAUAAUCUUAAUGGUGUGCCACUUUUUGAUGCUCAGGAAGAAGAUUACGUUGAAAGGUUUUGCACAUUGUUAAAAGCUGUUAACGAAAGUAAAAUUUCAAGUCUGCUUAUGUUGAUUAUAGGGUACUUAUUGGCUUCACUUGCAUACUAAGGUUUCGUUUGGGACGGCUUUCUUACUGCUUCUUAAAAUAGUUUUUUAGUAUUAAAAUUUUGAUUUUUAACUAGAAAGUUGCUUUAUGAAACAGGAAGAAAGCCGUCCCAAACGAAGCUUAAAUGACAAAACCACCACCCUUCCCUUCUCCUGCGGUCAUCCUUUCUAACAAAUUAUUGGUUUUUUAGAUAUGCACUUGCGAGCUUCCAUUCAUACUGCUCGUUCAACUUACUUUCAUUUAGGGCUAGUGAACAAAACAAGUUGACAAACAUGUUGAAGUUUCUUGCUUUCAAAUUAGAUUAACAUACAUGAAAACUGCAACUACUUAUCCAUGCGUCGGAUAUCCUUCAGAGUGUCAUUUUUAAAUUAUUUUAUGGUCAAGGAAAGGGCAACAUUACCCUUUGAAACGCACCAAUUUUUGCAUUCCAUCGUUAUUUAACUUAUUUUCUUGACCCCAUUCAAGCCAAGUGGAAAUUCAAUUAUGGUCAUCGAACGUCAAAAUGGAUUCAACUUUUUGCAUGUCAACAAGUUUUCCGAUUCAUCCGAAUGGAAGAUACAGGUAAGUUUCCUCUCAAUCCUAGCCGAUGAUCUUCCUCUAAGGUUUAGUCUUCAACCAUAAGAUCUUGGAUGGUGCUCGAAGAUAUUAUUGAUAUGCGCAGAUAUCUAUGUGCUAAGAGUGCAUAAGGGCUUACACUUACACUUAGGCUUCAUUUGGGAUGGUUUUCUUACUGCUUUUAAAAGUAGCAUUCUAGUAAAAAAUUUUAAUUUUUGUACUAAAAAUUUACUUUAAGAAGCAUGAGAAAGUCGUCCCAAACGAAGUCUUAAUCAUGCAAAUUUUUUCCUUACUGUAUAUUUAUAGAAUGCGCCAUCUCUGAGCGUAAGCAACAUUACUGAUACUUCUUAUUUUUCUGUAAGGUUUUGCUAGUUAUAAUGAGACUUUAUAAUUUUAUUUCAUA